UACCGUAGGGACGAACGUCGUACUACCGGGAACUUAACCUACGGGUAGGGGUAAAGGGUUACGGGUAGGCGGCCCAUUAAGUCAGAUGUGGAAAGCCCCGGAGCUCAACUCCGGGAUUGCAUUUGAAACUGGUGGGCUAGAGUACAGGAGAGGAAAGUGGAAUUCCUAGUGUAGCGGUGAAAUGCGUAGAUAUUAGGAAGAACACCAGUGGCGAAGGCGGCUUUCUGGACUGUAACUGACGCUGAGGUACGAAAGCGUGGGGAGCGAACAGGAUUAGAUACCCCCGUAGU
Molecule: ribosomal RNA, 290 nt
Filed under: uncultured bacterium
Lineage: Bacteria
Description: partial 16S ribosomal RNA
Rfam family: Bacterial small subunit ribosomal RNA (bases 46-290)
Source: RNAcentral